Molecule: ribosomal RNA, 301 nt
Filed under: uncultured bacterium
Lineage: Bacteria
Description: partial 16S ribosomal RNA
Rfam family: Bacterial small subunit ribosomal RNA
Source: RNAcentral
CAGUCGCCGCGGUAAUACAGAGGGUGCGAGCGUUAAUCGGAUUUACUGGGCGUAAAGCGUGCGUAGGCGGCUUCUUAAGUCGGAUGUGAAAUCCCUGAGCUUAACUUAGGAAUUGCAUUCGAUACUGGGAAGAUAGAGUAUGGGAGAGGAUGGUAGAAUUCCAGGUGUAGCGGUGAAAUGCGUAGAGAUCUGGAGGAAUACCGAUGGCGAAGGCAGCCAUCUGGCCUAAUACUGACGCUGAGGUACGAAAGCGUGGGGAGCAAACAGGAUUAGAUACCCCCGUAGUCCCUGUCUCUUAUAC